RNAcentral lists this ribosomal RNA (272 nucleotides) under uncultured bacterium. RNAcentral describes it as "partial 16S ribosomal RNA". The record is from RNAcentral.
CUGCUGCCUCCCGUAGGAGUUUGGACCGUGUCUCAGUUCCAAUGUGGGGACCUUCCUCUCAGAACCCCUACGCAUCGUCGGCUUGGUGGGCCGUUGCCCCACCAACUACCUAAUGCGCCGCAUGCCCAUCCGUGACCGGGGUCGCCCCCUUUGGCCGGCAGGGGAUGUCCCCUCCCGGCAUUAUGUUGUAUUAGGCGGGAUUUCUCCCGGUUAUCCAUCUGUCACGGCCAGGUUGCAUACGUGUUACUCACCCGUGCGCCGGUCGCCGGCGG